GAUGAACGCUGGCGGCGUGCCUAAUACAUGCAAGUCGAGCGAACGGACGAGAAGCUUGCUUCUCUGAUGUUAGCGGCGGACGGGUGAGUAACACGUGGAUAACCUACCUAUAAGACUGGGAUAACUUCGGGAAACCGGAGCUAAUACCGGAUAAUAUUUUGAACCGCAUGGUUCAAAAGUGAAAGACGGUCUUGCUGUCACUUCUAGAUGGAUCCGCGCUGCAUUAGCUAGUUGGUAAGGUAACGGCUUACCAAGGCAACGAUGCAUAGCCGACCUGAGAGGGUGGUCGGCCACGCUGGAACUGAGACACGGUCCAGACUCCUACGGAAGGCAGCAGUAGGGAAUCUUCGGCAAUGGGCAAAAGCCUGACGGAGCAACGCCGCGUGAGUGAUGAAGGUCUUCGGAUCGUAAAACUCUGUUAUUAGGGAAGAACGUAUGUGUAAGUAACGGUGCACAUCUUGACGGUACCUAAUCAGAAAGCCACGGCUAACUACGUG
This 497-nucleotide ribosomal RNA is filed under the name uncultured bacterium. RNAcentral describes it as "partial 16S ribosomal RNA". It matches the Rfam family "Bacterial small subunit ribosomal RNA", at positions 28 to 507 of the family's 1533-position model. The record is from RNAcentral.